UGCCAUCGUCACUCCCUCAGGAUGAGCGCGCAGCGGAUAUUAUCGGCCUCAACCCUCCUAAUAGCAGCUGCCUGCAGCGUCGUCAGAUACCACUCUUAACGAUACAAACCGGUCGAUCCUCGCCCAAAAAACCUCCACGGCGCAGAGGGCGAGAGGUCCGCGCUCAGUUGGAAGAUUGCUGCUCGAGCUUAACCUCUUGGUAGAGUGGAAAGGUGGAAGGGGAAAGACAAGGACAAAGUUGGUGUGAAAAGGGGAUGAGGACGACGGGCCCAGC
Molecule: long non-coding RNA, 274 nt
Filed under: Spirodela polyrhiza (greater duckweed)
Lineage: Eukaryota; Viridiplantae; Streptophyta; Magnoliopsida; Alismatales; Araceae
Description: long non-coding RNA (SPOL_LNC001573)
Source: RNAcentral